CAGUACGAAUACGAGUCACAAUAAUACUUGAGUUUUCAUUCAAACCACAAUCAAAGUGGCAUAUAAAUACACAGUUAUUCGUCCAAAUUCAAUAUGCACGGCUUAGUUCUUUUUGGCGUAGUUUGGCUGAUAUAUUAUGGCAUAUAUAAAUACAUUAUGACACAGAAUAUCAUGGUACCCAGAAGCAACGCUGCGGCCCAAGGUUUACAAAGAAACGUUUUUGAUGUCUAAACCGAUUGUUGGCAAGGCCUUUGGAAUUGUAAAGACUUCUUAUAGACUGAAAAUGUAGGCGAUUUUGUAAAUGCAUCAGAUUAUUGAAGUACUACUUGGACUUUUGCCUACUGUUGUGGUUUUGAUUGUACUCUUAGGAGUCUCUACAGAUUCCUGAUUUUCAUAGACUUGGUCCAAUGGAUGGAUGGAUUCCAAUGGAUUCAAUGGGUAAAUGGACAAUGGAACUCACUCGGAAGCCUGCACAUGUUCGAGUCUCCGAAUGAUAUCUAUGUAACAGAUAAAUGAUCCUAAUUUCCCGAAUUACAUACAGAAAAUUGUAUACCAGAAGAAAUACAAAAAUACCACAGAACCACAAGCCCCCGAGGAGAUGGGGCAAGCAUCGGAGUCAUCCUCCAAAGAAAGUCUCAAGAAAGUGUUUGCUUGGAGUGAUGUCACCACUUGGACGCAUGUUCCAGAUUGUUCCAGACUGCUUACACCCUCAAUAUUCAUGGCAAUUAUAUAUUCAUAGAUGCAUAGAUCCAUUUCUUAAGUGGCAGAGUUCUCGUUGAUACCCAAAAUGUCCCAUGUUCAUUCGAUUCCAGCCUUAUCCAAUGGAAGCCACUUGCUUAACUCAAUCUGGGCUCAUUCUGGGUUUGGUCAUCGCACAGCAUACUAUCCCAUACCAUCCCAUUCCAUAACCCAUCCUAUCGCCACUCAUCUUUGGCAGGGGAUUUCAUAGAGGCUUGCGAAAUUCCACAUGUGACAAUUCAGCAUUCAAUAGAUGGAUGGCUGGGAUGACUGGGAUGGUUGGGAUGGCAUGGAGCUGGAGCUGGAGCUGGCUAAAAGCCUGUCAAUCGGCGAGAGGAAGCGCUGGGGACAAAUGCCCUAAGUAGAGACCCAAAUCUCUGGAAAGCAAUUAGCAAGGCAAAACCCAAAAGAAAGAUCACCGCAAGACCGCUGUUCGGGGCACCAAUUGCAAUUGCCCAGACGACGGACAGCAUAGCGACACAGAACCCAGAGGAAGACGGACAGAAGCGGGAUUUAUCAGAGACAGAGACUGAGUCUGAGUCUGAGUCCGAGAUGGAGCUGGGGUUUGAGUUGGAGAUGAAGAUGCAGAGACGCAGACGGAGAAAAGCAAUUCUGCGGCUGACGGUUUUCGCAGAAAAUUACAACUUGCGGGUAAACAAAGUCAACUGCCGGCAAUGGCCCAGACAUGGGGCAAGGGGCCGGGACCGGGGCCGGGGCCGAAGCUAGGUCUGAGUGGAAUCCAACAGAAAACUGUGGGGCUGUGGCGGUGGCUGUUCGGGCUGGAGGUUGAGAGCUCUAGAAGAAUUGGCGUUGAAGCCACACGCCAAAGUAAGCCCACAAGCCGUCUUUUGCUGCUGUUGCUGCUGAUGCUUCAACUCCCACUCCGCCUCCCAUGGCUGGUGCCGCCGGGCUCCAUGUGGAGUGGAUGUGGGUGCGCAAUUAUGCCGCCAGAGCAACCAAGUAACCAUAAAUUUUCUUAUCAGCGCCCAGCAAAAGUCCAGGAGCGGAUCUCAUCAGCAGUGGCCGCUCUCAAGGGCCCCAAAGUAGAAUCUCAUCAGUCGGCUGCUAAGCCACAUUGGAAGAGAGAGAAAGGGAGCGCGAGGCCAGACACGACAGCCACGCUGUAAUACUUAAUUUCUAAAUAUAUAUAUGAUUUCUAAGUAUAUAGGAAAUCCUUGAUUUCUUCAGUAUCGUCAAUGAAAUAUCACUACUCUUAAAGAAUGUAAAACUAAUGUAAAGCUAGAUUAAGUUGCCACAA
This is a long non-coding RNA of Drosophila pseudoobscura, 1996 nucleotides long. RefSeq lists it as uncharacterized. The record is from RefSeq and is a predicted model, not a curated record. NCBI's taxonomy places the organism in Eukaryota, Metazoa, Arthropoda, Insecta, Diptera, Drosophilidae. The transcript is spliced from 3 exons.